AGUUUAGUGGUAGAACCUCAGCCUUCCAAGCUGAUGAUGCGGGUUCGAUUCCCGCC
RNAcentral lists this transfer RNA (56 nucleotides) under Pseudomonas sp. RNAcentral's name for it is "tRNA-Gly". It matches the Rfam family "tRNA", at positions 9 to 63 of the family's 71-position model. Rfam says of the family: Transfer RNA (tRNA) molecules are approximately 80 nucleotides in length. The record is from RNAcentral. Lineage: Bacteria; Pseudomonadati; Pseudomonadota; Gammaproteobacteria; Pseudomonadales; Pseudomonadaceae.